AACGAACGCUGGCGGCAGGCCUAACACAUGCAAGUCGAGCGCCCCGCAAGGGGAGCGGCGGACGGGUGAGUAACGCGUGGGAACGUACCCUUUGCUACGGAAUAGCCUCGGGAAACUGGGAGUAAUACCGUAUGUGCCCUUCGGGGGAAAGAUUUAUCGGCAAAGGAUCGGCCCGCGUUGGAUUAGGUAGUUGGUGGGGUAAUGGCCUACCAAGCCGACGAUCCAUAGCUGGUUUGAGAGGAUGAUCAGCCACACUGGGACUGAGACACGGCCCAGACUCCUACGGGAGGCAGCAGUGGGGAAUCUUAGACAAUGGGCGCAAGCCUGAUCUAGCCAUGCCGCGUGAGCGAUGAAGGCCUUAGGGUUGUAAAGCUCUUUCAGUGGGGAAGAUAAUGACUGUACCCACAGAAGAAGCCCGGCUAACUCCGUGCCAGCAGCCGCGGUAAUGUACAGUG
Molecule: ribosomal RNA, 455 nt
Filed under: uncultured bacterium
Lineage: Bacteria
Description: bacterial SSU rRNA
Rfam family: Bacterial small subunit ribosomal RNA
Source: RNAcentral